Molecule: unclassified non-coding RNA, 322 nt
Filed under: Hevea brasiliensis (rubber tree)
Lineage: Eukaryota; Viridiplantae; Streptophyta; Magnoliopsida; Malpighiales; Euphorbiaceae
Source: RNAcentral
AUUUUGAGAUAUCUGAAAUGUAUACCUAGAAAAUGACUUCUUUUUUGAAGGCAUGGCCAUCUCCAGAUAAAAGCUUUUACAGAAGCAGAUAGGGUUGGAUCUCUUAAUGAUAGGUCUACAUCAUGUUAUUACACCUUUGUUAGCGGCAACCUAGCUACUUAGAGAAGCAAUAAACAAAAUGUGACAGCUAGAUCAAGUGCAGAAGCAGUAUAAAGGGCUAUGGCACAAGACAUCUAUGAGCUAUUAUCGUUGCAGAAGUUGAUAGAGGAGUUGAGGAUGUUAGAGACCAAUAGUUUAUCUUUGUUUUGUAACAACAAAGCUG